GCCGGGGUAGGAUAGCCAGGUAAUCCGUCAGCCUCGAGAUGUACUAAUAGGGCUAGAUAGCUGAUGUCCUUGUGACUCGUGGGUUCAAAUCCCACCCCCGGCG
RNAcentral lists this transfer RNA (103 nucleotides) under Candidatus Nitrosocaldaceae archaeon. RNAcentral describes it as "tRNA-Ser". It matches the Rfam family "tRNA". Rfam says of the family: Transfer RNA (tRNA) molecules are approximately 80 nucleotides in length. Lineage: Archaea; Thermoproteati; Nitrososphaerota; Nitrososphaeria; Candidatus Nitrosocaldales; Candidatus Nitrosocaldaceae. The record is from RNAcentral.